RNAcentral lists this ribosomal RNA (1503 nucleotides) under Triticum aestivum (bread wheat). RNAcentral describes it as "partial small subunit ribosomal RNA". The record is from RNAcentral. Lineage: Eukaryota; Viridiplantae; Streptophyta; Magnoliopsida; Poales; Poaceae.
AUGAUCGAGCAGUUCGUCAAUUUCGUCAUCCGGCCGCCUCGGUCAGAGUAUAACCCAGAUCAGUACUUAUGGGAGAGAGAGUUUAUGCUCGCAGGGCGAAGGUAUAAACGACUAGACUUGGAGCUCACAAAUCCAAGGGGCCAUACCCUGAAAUGCAGCCACUAUCUUCCUGCUUCCAUUCCAGAAAAUAUUGCCCUCCCGUGUGUGAUCUACUGCCAUGGAAAUAGCGGAUGCAGAGCAGACGCAAAUGAAGCCGCUGUAGUACUUCUUCCUUCAAACAUCACAGUUUUCACACCAGACUUUUCCGGUUCAGGUCUAUCGGACGGAGAUUAUGUCAGCCUUGGUUGGCAUGAGAAAGAGGACCUCAAAUGCGCAGUAUCAUUCCUGCGCACCAACAAGCAAGUUUCCCGUAUAGGCCUUUGGGGGCGAUCGAUGGGUGCUGUUACAAGCCUACUAUAUGGAGCAGAAGAUCCCUCAAUUGCUGGCAUGGUAUUGGAUAGUGCUUUCACCAACUUGUAUGGCUUGAUGUUGGAACUUGUGGAUGUUUACAAAAUUCGAGUUCCUAAAUUCACGGUUAAGAUGGCUGUACAGUACAUGCGACGAACCAUUCAGAAAAGAGCGAAGUUUGACAUAAUGGACCUUAAUGUUGUAAAGCUUGCUCCUAAGACAUUUAUUCCUGCAUUAUUUGGACAUGGUCUGAGUGACAUGUUUAUUCAGCCUCACCACUGUGACCGUAUUCACGAAGCAUAUGGGGGGGAUAAAAGUAUGGUAAAAUUUGAGGGUGACCAUAAUUCCCCAAGACCUCAAUCAUACUAUGAUUCGGUUUCGAUAUUUUUCUACAAUACUCUGCGUCCUCCCCAGUUGCCUGCAUCAGGCUCAAAUAAGCUACAUGUAAAAAUUGGUACCAUGACCAAUGAGAGUUUGUUCUUUGAGAUCAUCAAUGGUCUGAGGGCAGCUAAAACCGAUGCAGGCAGUUCAUCAACAAAUGCACAUGGCUUUCGAAAUUCUACAACUUCGGUAGUCGAAUUACUAUCGGAGAGCGCAAAUCAGUUGUCCAUUAAGAAUGACAAUGACUUGGAUUUCCUCUUAGAUGAGAAUCAUAACCUAUCUGGUGCAGAUGGUGAUAGUGUUGGACUGCAUUUGCAGGAUAAAACCAGUAGGCACAGCGAGGAGUCCUGCUCAUACACAAGCUCAAACAGAGAAAGUUGGGGCAGAUGUUCAUCGUUAGGUGCGGCGAGUGAUGGAUCAUUCUCACGCGGCCUUGGUGAUAAGCACGAGAGCAUGACGGUAAAUGCUCUGGCCACGCCGCGGAGACACGAACAGAGGAAACUGGCCAAAUCGUCGCCCCCGAAAACGAAGGAGAGGAAGUUCCAUGCCCUGUGGAAGAAGCUCAAGCGCGAGAGGGAGGAGAUGGGGGACAGCCUCUCCCAGCGCCUGAGGAUGUGCCUCGGGCAGUCUCCUCGUCACAGGCGAACCCAAUCGUCAUCUGGACAGCAACUAUAG